This 253-nucleotide unclassified non-coding RNA is filed under the name uncultured Chitinophagales bacterium. RNAcentral's name for it is "contains 16S-23S intergenic spacer region". It matches the Rfam family "Bacterial small subunit ribosomal RNA", at positions 524 to 776 of the family's 1533-position model. The record is from RNAcentral. Lineage: Bacteria; Pseudomonadati; Bacteroidota; Chitinophagia; Chitinophagales.
UACGGAGGGUGCAAGCGUUAUCCGGAUUCACUGGGUUUAAAGGGUGCGUAGGCGGAUUGGUAAGUCAGUGGUGAAAGCUCUCAGCUUAACUGAGAAAUUGCCGUUGAUACUGCUGAUCUUGAAUAUAGACGAAGUGGGCGGAAUGUGGCGUGUAGCGGUGAAAUGCUUAGAUAUGCCACAGAACACCAAUUGCGAAGGCAGCUCGCUAGACUAUUAUUGACGCUGAGGCACGAAAGCGUGGGGAUCAAACAGG